UACAGAGGUCCCGAGCGUUGUUCGGAAUUACUGGGCGUAAAGCGUGCGCAGGCGGCUUUGCAAGACAGAUGUGAAAUCCCCGGGCUCAACCUGGGAACUGCAUUUGUGACUGCAUGGCUGGAGUGCGGCAGAGGGGGAUGGAAUUCCGCGUGUAGCAGUGAAAUGCGUAGAUAUGCGGAGGAACACCGAUGGCGAAGGCAAUCCCCUGGGCCUGCACUGACGCUCAUGCACGAAAGCGUGGGGAGCAAACAGG
RNAcentral lists this ribosomal RNA (253 nucleotides) under uncultured bacterium. RNAcentral's name for it is "partial 16S ribosomal RNA". It matches the Rfam family "Bacterial small subunit ribosomal RNA", at positions 524 to 776 of the family's 1533-position model. The record is from RNAcentral.